RNAcentral lists this long non-coding RNA (792 nucleotides) under Chinchilla lanigera (long-tailed chinchilla). RNAcentral's name for it is "lncRNA (ENSCLAG00000027691.1)". The record is from RNAcentral. Lineage: Eukaryota; Metazoa; Chordata; Mammalia; Rodentia; Chinchillidae.
UUCAAAAUGCUUCUGUAUUUUGACCAUGGCUUUGUAUACCUGUGACGUCAAGAACAAACGGUUUUGCACUAAGGGAAGUAAAGCCCCCACAGGAGCAGACAGUUGCCUCUGAUUCAUUGGAUGACUUUACACAAAUCCUCAUCUGUAACGUUCCUCAGUAUCCUCAUUUGCAAAUGAAUGAUAAAUUCCAACUCAUGGUUGUUGUGAAGACUGAAUAAAAUAAAUAGGUAAAGCUCCUUAGCAGAAGACUGGCCCGGCGUAAGUGUUAGCAAUUAGCACCAUUGCUUACAUUGGUGGUAGAAGUCACACUCCACCUCAGGGUCGACCACGUCAGAAACUCUGUCCAGUCAGCAGCAUCAGGGAAGGUGACAAAUGCAACCACUCUGCUUUUCCUAUGGUUCCUUUGAAAAAGGUUUUUCUGCUUCCUCGGUGAUCACAUUUUCUGUCACAUUUGAGGCUUGUUGCUAGUAUUAUAGGAUCCUAUGGAUCUUCCUUGCUUGUCUUUCUGUCUUGUUUGACUCACGUUUACUGUUUUCCUCACCAGAUACCCACCAUCUGGGUUCAUGGUUCAUGACUUCUUCAGGUCGCCAGGGCCCGAGAUGCCUGCCCAGAACUAAGCACAGUUCUUUACAAGGUGCAAGUUCAAGGUGAUGAGCCCAUUGCUAAGAUUAGAACCAGGCUAGGUCUGCGUCAUCACUACCCUAACAUGGCUGGAGCAAAAAACUGGGUACCGGAAAAAGGGUCACAAACUAAGCUAUGCCUGUUUGAAGAGUGGGAAGCACUGGCGACACA